AGUGGUCACGCGCCUGGCCCAGUGCACGGUGAAGCUCGGCCACGUCCAGCGCCCAGGCACGCUCCUCGUCCAGGGAUGCCUCCGUCACGCCUCUCAAUGUACCGCGCCACGUCCUCCCGGAUCAGCUGGAUGCCGGAGCUGACGCUGUAGGCCCCUGGACUCGGGCAGGACAGGAUGGGAAGUACAGAUGCCUGGAGCAAAGGGGAAGGGAGGAGGCUCAUGGACCCUCCCUGCUCAGAGUUCCCCCCGCUCUACGUCCCUCUGUGUUAAAGGACACAGGCAGGGUCAGCAAAGGUGAAGGCGGGAACACAGGAGGCCGAGAGCCACAGAUACUGCCCAAGAGGAGCCUCCUGAGCGGCCAUCUGAGAGGAAGCCUCUCCCUGCCAAGGACGCCCAACAGGCCCUACCUGGCGAUGAGCAGCUCCACCAGGUGCAGGUGGCCGCAGGUGGCCGCAGCAUGCAGAGGCGUCCAGCACUCACUGUCACAGGCAUUGAUGUUGGCCCCAGCCUCCAGGAGCUGCUGCACCAUCUCUCGGAAAUCAUCAAUGCAGCACUG
Long non-coding RNA from Homo sapiens (human), 556 nucleotides. The record is from Ensembl. NCBI's taxonomy places the organism in Eukaryota, Metazoa, Chordata, Mammalia, Primates, Hominidae.